AAUAAAGAGCACCUAUGUACUGACUCUCUGUUCUGCUCCAGGGGCUUCAGGGCCAUACUCCUUCUGUACUGACUCCAGCCCUAUGUGGUAGAUGCUAAUACACCCUAAGAAAGCUGGGGACCAUGGAAGCUGCCACCAUCCCAACAGCCCUGGUUGAUAUUGAGAUCUCUGCAUCUUCAGGUUAGUUUUGCUUUGCCCUGGAUGGGACUGCUUAGUCGGCAAAGACCUGAAUACCCGAAAAAGGAAGAGAAGUUCUGUGUCUGGCAAUAAAAGGACCAGAGGAAGAUGAUGGCGAAGUCCGGAAGCAACACAAAAAGACUCCUGGGGAAAAAAGGAUGCUGCUCUAACUCUGGGAGUUUGGCUGAUAUGUGAGACCUGGCUCUCUCGGGAUGACAUGGAAGGUGACCCUCUCAGGCUCUGCCUACUACCCACCAGUCUUCUGCCCCCAUCUCUAGCCUCCUUCCUGCCCUCUCUUGUGAGCCAAGCGUGCACAGAUCGCAGAGAUGUGGCAGACCGAAUGGCCCAUCACUCAGAAGUCAUGUGCACAGCCGUGGAGACCCAGUGUGGAGAAUCACUUCUGCAGGGACACAAAAACGCGCUGCCCAGGGCUAGACAGAGGCUGGACAGGAGACUUGCCUCAGAGACAACUGCACCAAGUCUGCUGCCACCGCUGUACACACUGGGCAUUGAGCUCUGUUUGAGAGAGGCCCUACAGCUAAGACUGGAGUAGCCCUGGCCCAGCAGCACAGAGACUGCCUUUCUCCCCACAACCCCUGUUUUCAUCAAGCCACAUAGUGAAAAGCCUUCAGUGCUAUUCCACACUGCUUACCUUUGAUACUGUUCGAUGUUUCUUUCAGCAGCUAGAUGCACUUUUAAUUAAUAACGGCUAAAACAGUUGAUUUCUUUUCUAUCUCUUCAGAAUUAUAGGUAACACUGCAAAGGCUAUUGCUCAUGGAUCUUUUUUUUUUUUUUUAACUAGGGUUACCUCAUAAAUUACUUUAUUCUGAAGGAAAUGGUCCAAGGCUUUAGUGGAUGCUUUCUGCAUGACUUUUCCCUGUUCAUUGGUUCUCCACAUCAGUCCUCAUUGAUAUUCUCAAUAACCCAAAGCCUG
RNAcentral lists this long non-coding RNA (1111 nucleotides) under Mus spicilegus (steppe mouse). RNAcentral's name for it is "lncRNA (ENSMSIG00000014248.1)". Lineage: Eukaryota; Metazoa; Chordata; Mammalia; Rodentia; Muridae. The record is from RNAcentral.